Molecule: unclassified non-coding RNA, 233 nt
Filed under: uncultured Agaricomycetes
Lineage: Eukaryota; Fungi; Basidiomycota; Agaricomycetes
Description: sequence contains ITS1
Source: RNAcentral
GAGAGCCAAGAGAUCCGUUGCUGAAAGUUGUAUAUAAAUUGCGUYAUAGCAAAGUAUGACAUUCUAAAACUGAAUCGUUUGUAGUAAAGCAUAAGCCCGACACCUACAAGUGCGCGAACGCACCCACAAGCCGGCCUAUGAAAAGUGCACAGAAGUUGAGAGUGGAUGAGACAGGCGUGCACAUGCCCUUGCGAGCCAGCAGACAACCCGUUCAAAACUCGAUAAUGAUCCUU